GAGCGAUCAUAAGGGAGCUGACUGCAAAUCUGCCGUCAUCGACUUCAAGGUUCGACUCGAGCAAUAGUGAGAAAACGUUGCCGCAGGCAACGGCCCGAAGGGUGAGGAGCUUUAGCUCCGAAUAAUCCUUCCCGCUAUAGAA
This 142-nucleotide small RNA is filed under the name Salmonella enterica. Its description in RNAcentral is "RtT sRNA". It matches the Rfam family "RtT RNA". Rfam says of the family: This family represents a bacterial cis-regulatory element known as RtT RNA. The exact function of RtT is unknown although it is thought that it may be involved in changing the cellular response in relation to amino acid starvation. Lineage: Bacteria; Pseudomonadati; Pseudomonadota; Gammaproteobacteria; Enterobacterales; Enterobacteriaceae. RNAcentral also lists the same sequence under 27 other names. The record is from RNAcentral.